This 978-nucleotide ribosomal RNA is filed under the name Triticum aestivum (bread wheat). Its description in RNAcentral is "partial small subunit ribosomal RNA". The record is from RNAcentral. Lineage: Eukaryota; Viridiplantae; Streptophyta; Magnoliopsida; Poales; Poaceae.
AUGCCUCCUCAUCCUCGUCGGAGAUCGGACCUCGCUAGAGAUGAGUUCCCCACCGUGCCCUGCUCCCUUCCUUCCCCACCUGCUCUCUCUUUUUCUAUCUCCCUCUCACGCUACUCUCUCUCUCUCUCUCUCUCUCUCUGUUGUCUUCGCAGCACCACCAUGGAGGCCCUAGCUCCAACCCGUAGCAGCUGCGGCACGGGAGUCGCCAUCACCUUGCCUCCCUCCAGGAACCGAACAACGCCUGCCUCGCCAUGGAAGCGCCUCCUCGCCGUGGUCAUGGAGCCCCAAGCCCCGCCUCCUCCCCUGCGUCGCAAAGUUCAUCGCUGCUCGAGCUCCCGAGCUACUCUAGCGCCCCAUGGCCUCUGCCGCGCCAGAGCUUGGCUGCCGCCGGCGACAGCAACAACAACUCCGUCGUCGCCUUCCUCCUCUCUUCCCGUGCGCGCGGCCACCCAACCCCGUCGCCCUCUGUCUACAUCGUGCGCUCGUGCCGGAGCCAAGGGGGUCCCGACACCCUACAGAUUCCCCGCAGCCCUGCCUCGUCCAACCUCGCCGUCCCCGAGCUCUUUUUCGGCUGGAUCCGCCCCAACGCCGUGGUUCCUCGGCGCCCCGGACCUCCCCUGCGUCGCCCGCGCCAAGUCCCGCUGCCGCGCCCUUGUUCCUCUGUCGUGGCCCGCGCCAUCCCGGGCGAGCAAGCACCAGCAACGCCACAGCCAUCCUCGUCCAUGCGCUCGAGUCCACGAGCGAGGACCUCGCCGCGUCCCUGCCCAAGGACCACCCGGUCUGCCUCCCCCAGCCACCUCCCUGACGUGUCGCCCGUCAGACUCGCCGUUGUCGCUCCCUGCAUCGCCGUUGACUGCUGCGACCUCCUCCGCUUCGUCCAUGCCCAUGUUUUGUCCAAGGGGAACGAGCAGCGCAGCCCGUGCUCGAUCCGCUGGCACACAUUGCCUGCAAUCACGCUCUAGGCCACUUCGGCGCUAA